CACGACUCACUUGUCCUGGUGACACCUCCCCGGGCUCACCCUCCGGCAGAUACAGCUCCGGUGACCACAGCAGUCAUGAAGGAACUGCUGGCGGGACUUCAGCUCACCAUCCAAGCAGACAUGGCCCAAAUACGCGGAGACCUGCAAGGCCUGACAGGCUGUCUGAGCACACUGGAAACCAAUUCCCGCCGAAACACACAAAACACGACGCAACUGCAUAAAGCAGUUCAUGACCUGCAACAGCAGACCCACACGAUGGAUCUAAAGUUUGAAGAAUUGGAGAACCAGAGGUGUAGCCUGAAUCUCAAAAUCAGGGGCAUCAGCGAGGAGAUACCAGAGGCGGAGAUACUGCACUUUAUCCGGUGACUGAUGUCUGCCCUCCUGCCCCC
Molecule: non-coding RNA, 389 nt
Organism: Pelobates cultripes (western spadefoot toad)
Lineage: Eukaryota; Metazoa; Chordata; Amphibia; Anura; Pelobatidae
Source: the annotation of a GenBank genome assembly